Molecule: signal recognition particle RNA, 291 nt
Filed under: Aotus nancymaae (Ma's night monkey)
Lineage: Eukaryota; Metazoa; Chordata; Mammalia; Primates; Aotidae
Description: Metazoan signal recognition particle RNA (ENSANAG00000004826.1)
Rfam family: Metazoan signal recognition particle RNA
About the family: The signal recognition particle (SRP) is a universally conserved ribonucleoprotein. It is involved in the co-translational targeting of proteins to membranes.
Source: RNAcentral
GCCGGGAACCGUGGUGCGUGCCUGUAGUCCCAGCUACUCGGGAGGCUGAGGUGGGAGGAUCGCUUGAGCCCAGGAGUUCUGGGCUGUAGUGCUCUAUCCUGAUCAGGUGUCUCCACUAAGUUCAGCAUCAAUAUAGUGACCUCCCAGGAGCGAGGGACCACCAGCUUGCCUAAGGAGGGGUGAACCUGCCGAGGUCGGAAAAGGAGCAGAUAAAAACUCCCGUGCUGAUCAGUAGUGGGAUCGCACCUGUGAAUAGCCACUGCAGUCCAGCCUGGGCAAGACCCCAUCUCU